CUGCUUUGGCAGCACAUAUACUAAAAUUGGAACGAUACAGAGAAGAUUAGCAUGGCCCCUGCACAAGGAUGACACGCAGCCCUUAGCAAUAGUGAAUAAAGCU
Sorex fumeus (smoky shrew) is the source of this 103-nucleotide small nuclear RNA. The record is from RefSeq and is a predicted model, not a curated record. NCBI's taxonomy places the organism in Eukaryota, Metazoa, Chordata, Mammalia, Eulipotyphla, Soricidae.